GAUGAACGCUAGCGGCAGGCUUAACACAUGCAAGUCGAGGGGUAUGCCGAUUUAUCGGCAGAGACCGGCGCACGGGUGCGUAACGCGUAUGCAAUCUACCUUUCACAGAGGGAUAGCCCAGAGAAAUUUGGAUUAAUACCUCAUAGUAUAGCAAUUUCGCAUGAAACCACUAUUAAAAGUUCCAACGGUGAAAGAUGAGCAUGCGUCCCAUUAGCUAGAUGGUAAGGUAACGGCUUACCAUGGCUACGAUGGUAGGGGUCCUGAGAGGGAGAUCCCCCCANACUGGUACUGAGACACGGACCAGACUCCUACGGGAGGCAGCAGUGGGGAAUAUU
RNAcentral lists this ribosomal RNA (335 nucleotides) under uncultured bacterium. RNAcentral's name for it is "bacterial SSU rRNA". It matches the Rfam family "Bacterial small subunit ribosomal RNA", at positions 28 to 365 of the family's 1533-position model. The record is from RNAcentral.